Molecule: microRNA precursor, 120 nt
Filed under: Oryza sativa (Asian cultivated rice)
Lineage: Eukaryota; Viridiplantae; Streptophyta; Magnoliopsida; Poales; Poaceae
Description: miR2925 stem-loop (osa-MIR2925)
Source: miRBase by way of RNAcentral
UUCUUGACGCCGCCCUUGGCGGCCGCGGGCUUCGUCGCCGUCUCACUGAGCUUGGCAGCCGGCUCCUUGGCAAGUCCGGCAGGUUUCACGGCCUUCAGAGAAGCCAUUCUUCUGAUGCUU